AGGCCCAGGACUGGCAAAAAAAAAAAAACAAAAAUGAUAAAAUAUUGGUAUUCGCAGGGAAAUGGUCAGAACUUGAACAAAUAAUGUUGAACGAGACAAGCCUAGAACACAGAAAACAAAGGGGCAUGAUUUCCUUGAUAUGUGAUUGUUAAGGUGGGGGGG
Long non-coding RNA from Perognathus longimembris pacificus (Pacific pocket mouse), 162 nucleotides. RefSeq lists it as uncharacterized. Lineage: Eukaryota; Metazoa; Chordata; Mammalia; Rodentia; Heteromyidae. The transcript is spliced from 3 exons. The record is from RefSeq and is a predicted model, not a curated record.